Molecule: ribosomal RNA, 521 nt
Filed under: uncultured microorganism
Description: bacterial SSU rRNA
Rfam family: Bacterial small subunit ribosomal RNA
Source: RNAcentral
GAGUUUGAUCUUGGCUCAGGAUGAACGCUGGCGGCGUGCUUAACACAUGCAAGUCGAACGAAGCGCCUUAUUUGAUUUUCUUCGGAACUGAAGAUUUGGUGACUGAGUGGCGGACGGGUGAGUAACGCGUGGGUAACCUGCCCUGUACAGGGGGAUAACAAUCAGAAAUGACUGCUAAUACCGCAUAAGACCACAGCACCGCAUGGUGCAGGGGUAAAAACUCCGGUGGUACAGGAUGGACCCGCGUCUGAUUAGCUGGUUGGUGAGGUAACGGCUCACCAAGGCGACGAUCAGUAGCCGGCUUGAGAGAGUGAACGGCCACAUUGGGACUGAGACACGGCCCAAACUCCUACGGGAGGCAGCAGUGGGGAAUAUUGCACAAUGGGGGAAACCCUGAUGCAGCAACGCCGCGUGAGUGAAGAAGUAUUUCGGUAUGUAAAGCUCUAUCAGCAGGGAAGAAAGUGACGGUACCUGACUAAGAAGCCCCGGCUAACUACGUGCCAGCCGCCGCAGUAACACCG